RNAcentral lists this unclassified non-coding RNA (512 nucleotides) under uncultured Bordetella sp. Its description in RNAcentral is "partial 16S-23S ribosomal RNA intergenic spacer". It matches the Rfam family "Bacterial small subunit ribosomal RNA", at positions 272 to 794 of the family's 1533-position model. The record is from RNAcentral. Lineage: Bacteria; Pseudomonadati; Pseudomonadota; Betaproteobacteria; Burkholderiales; Alcaligenaceae.
GGCCACUACGUUCAGUACGCGUGACUGCCGGAGCGUCCAGGCCGGCCAACUUCAGCCUUUACGAGGUGGCAUGGAAAAUGGGAAAUUUGAUGAUGGGAACCGAAUCCAGCCUCCUGGGUGCGAUGCGAAAGGUCUUCAGGAUCAGCCUUUGGCCAGGGCAGCAGCCGGGGAUGAUAACCCAGUGCAAUGACGGUAUGCAGAAUAAAGCACAGCCAACUGCGUGCCAGCAGCCGCGGUAAUACGUAAGUGCAAGCGUUAAUCGGAAUUACUGGGCGUAAAGCGUGCGCAGGCGGUUCGGAAAGAAAGAUGUGAAAUCCCAGAGCUUAACUUUGGAACUGCAUUUUUAACUACCGAGCUAGAGUGUGUCAGAGGGAGGUGGAAUUCCGCGUGUAGCAGUGAAAUGCGUAGAUAUGCGAGGAGGAACACCGAUGGCGAAGGCAGCCUCCUGGAGGAUAACACUGACGCUCACGCACGAAAGCGUGGGAGCAAACAGGAUUAGAUACCCUGGUAGU